GCUAGGCGUGCUGGCACAUGCUUGUAAUCCCAACAACUUGGGAGGCUGAGGCAGCAGAAUCACAAGUUUAAGGCCAGCCUGGACAACUUAGUGAGACCCUGUCUUAA
RNAcentral lists this small RNA (107 nucleotides) under Marmota monax (woodchuck). The record is from RNAcentral. Lineage: Eukaryota; Metazoa; Chordata; Mammalia; Rodentia; Sciuridae.